UUUCUCUUAGCUUAAUUAAAGCAUCAGUUUGAAGAUCUGAAGAUAAUUUUAUUAGAGAGAC
RNAcentral lists this transfer RNA (61 nucleotides) under Dipylidium caninum. RNAcentral describes it as "tRNA-Phe". Lineage: Eukaryota; Metazoa; Platyhelminthes; Cestoda; Cyclophyllidea; Dipylidiidae. The record is from RNAcentral.